UAUAUUAUGUCAUAGAUCUUUUUGUAGGUAUUUUAAGAUCUAAUUUUAUGCAUGUAUUUGUAGAUUAAAAUAUUUAAUCUAUCUUUAUUCUAUUGUAAAAAUUUUGAAAUGCAUGCAUGAACCCUAUACUUUUCCAAUAGUGGUAUCAGAGCCCUAAGUUCUUUAUGAUAUGUAUAUCUAUACAUAUAAUUUAAAAUCUGAUUUCAAAUUGAAGCAUGUGAUGUUUAUUUAUGAUGUUUAUUAUUUGAUUUUGAUAUGAUCAAAAUAUAAUAAUCAAAUCUGAAAUAAUUUAGAUUAGAUCUAAAUUAAUUAGAUUAGAUAAUCUAAGUAGUGUAGCAGUC
This 341-nucleotide long non-coding RNA is filed under the name Elaeis guineensis (African oil palm). RNAcentral's name for it is "long non-coding RNA (EGUI_LNC033565)". The record is from RNAcentral. Lineage: Eukaryota; Viridiplantae; Streptophyta; Magnoliopsida; Arecales; Arecaceae.